GACGAACGCUGGCGGCGUGCUUAACACAUGCAAGUCGAACGGAAAGGCCCUGCUUGCCGGGUACUCGAGUGGCGAACGGGUGAGUAACACGUGGGUGAUCUGCCCUGCACUUCGGGAUAAGCCUGGGAAACUGGGUCUAAUACCGGAUAGGAGCCAUUUUUAGUGUGAUGGUUGGAAAGUUUUUUCGGUGUAGGAUGAGCUCGCGGCCUAUCAGCUUGUUGGUGGGGUAAUGGCUUACCAAGGCGGCGACGGGUAGCCGGCCUGAGAGGGUGGACGGCCACAUUGGGACUGAGAGACGGCCCAGACUCCGACGGGAGGCAGCAGUGGGGAAUAUUGCACAAUGGGCGCAAGCCUGAUGCAGCGACGCCGCGGGGGGGAUGACGGCCUUAGGGUUGUAAACUCCUUUCGCUAGGGACGAAGCUUUUUGUGACGGUACCUAGAGAAGAAGCACCGGCUAACUACGUG
RNAcentral lists this ribosomal RNA (465 nucleotides) under uncultured bacterium. Its description in RNAcentral is "partial 16S ribosomal RNA". It matches the Rfam family "Bacterial small subunit ribosomal RNA", at positions 28 to 507 of the family's 1533-position model. The record is from RNAcentral.